RNAcentral lists this unclassified non-coding RNA (206 nucleotides) under soil metagenome. RNAcentral describes it as "partial contains 5.8S ribosomal RNA, internal transcribed spacer 2, and large subunit ribosomal RNA". The record is from RNAcentral.
AACGAGGCCGACCUGCGGCUGAGUUACCUGCGGAGGGAUCAUUAUAGAGUUUUCUAAACUCCCAACCCAUGUGAACUUACCUUUUGUUGCCUCGGCAGAAGUUAUAGGUCUUCUUAUAGCUGCUGCCGGUGGACCAUUAAACUCUUGUUAUUUUAUGUAAUCUGAGCGUCUUAUUUUAAUAAGUCAAAACUUUCAGCAACGGAUCU